GGACAGUAUUGUAAUUGGUGUUGACAAUGAUAAUAUUAUUUUAUUGUAAAUUUCACAUCCAAAUGACAAAUUGGACGGCUCAGUGAAGUAAUAGACAGUAUGGGUCCCAUCGGCAUGCAACUUUUGACUGAAGAAAAUAAAAAAGAAAAUAAAAAGUAAUGGAAAUGAAUGGGUAGAUAUUAAACCCUUGUUUGGUCCUCAUUUUUUGGGAAUGAAAAUGAAAGGAAUAGUAUUUUUUUUUUAAAAAUGAAUGGUUAAAAAAGAAGGAAAUAUUUUCGAUUUACGUGUAAUAUCUGAAGGUAAUUGGUCUGACCAAUUUCGGCAAGAGAACGUUGAAGAAUUGUGAUUAUAGUAUGAGGGAACUUUACGAUACUAGAAUGAGAAAGAUACAAAUGUCAGUGAUUCGAGUUCGGAAGAGGAUGAAGUUGUGCUUGAAGAUCAAAACGAAGAACCGAUGGGAGAAGAAAAAGUUGAAAGUUUGGUGGAAUCCGAUUAUGAGAUGAAGCAGGAACAGGAACCCAUAACUACUGCUGAAACUAGUAGUCAAAGAAUUCAUUUUGAUUUUGGGUUUGGUUUAGGGGAUGAGCUCCAGGUUAGGGACUCCGAUACCGACUACGGGGACUCCGAUGAUUUACGGAGCAUUCAUAGUGAAGAGGGAGGCGAUACAACUUCAGAAAGUAGGGUCUCCAAUAAUUCUUUCAACGUAGUGAUAGAUAUGGAGGAUCCAGUGUUCACGUUAGGUAACUGAAACAUAUCCUCUACUUCCAUUUACAUCCAUUUUGCACUUUAGUUUAAUGAGAUCUAUAUGCAAUUUUUUUUUUUUGAUUGUGUAGGCUUAGUAUUUGAGUCAAAGUUAGUACUAAAGGCUGCCAUCACCUAAUAUUCAGUUAGAAGCAACAGAGAGAUCAAAUUUAUAAAGGAUGACACUCGCAGAUUGAGGGCCAAGUGUAAGGGAAAUUGUCCAUGGGACUAGUAUGCUACAAGAGAGCAUAAUAAGACAAGUUUUGUGAUCAAGAUGUUUGUCGACAACCAUACUUUCCCUAUAGUGUAUAAGAACUCCGGAGUGACCUCAACCUAUUUGGUAGCCAACUAUUUAUCUGAUUGGAGUGCUAAUGCCAAUAUGUCUAUCAGUACAUUAAUGGAGAGUGUUAAGAGGGAUGGUUUGAGUGACAUCUCACAUUGGCAAGUGUAUAAAACAAAGGAGAAUGCACUUGAAAAAAAUUAGAGGGAGCAUGGUGGAGCAUUAUACAAUGCUGUAGGAUUAUUGUGAGGAGUUGAAGAGGACAAAUGUUGGGACCACAACUGUAGUUGAGGGACAUGCUGGAGAAUUCAGAUCACUCUACAUUGCCCUGGUGCAUUGAGGAACUGUUUCAUUAGGGGUUGCAAAAGGGUAAUUGGGAUAGAUGGUUGCUUUUUAAAAAAGAGCAUGGCGGGCAAUUAUUGACUGCAAUCGGUGUUGAUGCUAACAAUGGUAUGUACUUGGUGGCAUACGCAGUUGUUGAAGUUGAGAAUAGGAAAAAUUGGAGAUGGUUUUUGGAGUUAUCGAGGGAUAAUUUACAUAUACACAAUAGUCAUAGUCAGCACUGGACAUUCAUUUCCAAUAAGCAAAAGGGUUUGACUAAUGCACUUGAGUCAUUGUUUGAGAAUUCAGAGCAAAAAAUGAGCAUUAGACAUCUAUACAAGAAUUUUAGUUUGUGCCACAACGAAUUGACUUUGAAGAAUUGUUUGUGGGAUGCAGCUAGAGCUAUUACUGUAUCACAUUGGCUGCGGCACAUGCAACGGAUAUUGGACUUGGACCCGGCUGCUUAUGGCUGGCUUAAACCGAAACCAGCUGCUCAUUGGAGCAAAUCCCACUUUAGAGAGUGGAAUUAAUGUGACAUGCUUCUUAAUAAUUUAUGUGUCGUUUAAUAGCACAAUUAUGAAUGCAAGAGAGAAGCCCAUAUUAACCAUGCUAGAGGAGAUAAGGGUGUAUU
This 1973-nucleotide long non-coding RNA is filed under the name Olea europaea subsp. europaea. Lineage: Eukaryota; Viridiplantae; Streptophyta; Magnoliopsida; Lamiales; Oleaceae. The record is from RNAcentral.